GAACGACUCUCGGCAACGGAUAUCUCGGCUCUCGCAUCGAUGAAGAACGUAGCGAAAUGCGAUACUUGGUGUGAAUUGCAGAAUCCCGCGAACCAUCGAGUCUUUGAACGCAAGUUGCGCCCGAAGCCAUUAGGUUGAGGGCACGUCUGCCUGGGCGUCUCACG
This 164-nucleotide ribosomal RNA is filed under the name Camellia sinensis. RNAcentral describes it as "5.8S ribosomal RNA". It matches the Rfam family "5.8S ribosomal RNA". Rfam says of the family: 5.8S ribosomal RNA (5.8S rRNA) is a component of the large subunit of the eukaryotic ribosome. It is transcribed by RNA polymerase I as part of the 45S precursor that also contains 18S and 28S rRNA. RNAcentral also lists the same sequence under 4 other names. Lineage: Eukaryota; Viridiplantae; Streptophyta; Magnoliopsida; Ericales; Theaceae. The record is from RNAcentral.